Macadamia integrifolia is the source of this 2954-nucleotide long non-coding RNA. RefSeq lists it as uncharacterized. The transcript is spliced from 2 exons. Lineage: Eukaryota; Viridiplantae; Streptophyta; Magnoliopsida; Proteales; Proteaceae. The record is from RefSeq and is a predicted model, not a curated record.
GCUUCUAUUGUAUUGUAUAGAUUUUGUGUUGAAGGGUGAAAGUUAAUUGUUUGAUUUUAAGUACUCUAAAUCAAAGGUUAACUAUUUUGGGGUUAGCUUUUGCUUCUCUCAAUAUGGAUUUUUUUAACUCUUUCUUGCAACUUCUCUCUUUUGUUUUUCUUUCAGUUUCUCAUCUCAUUCGAGUGACGUGGUAUUAUUUGUCUAAUAUUUGAUUGUAGACAAGUGGAAGGUGAAAUAUCGUGAGUGAGUCAUAUUUUUCUCUCUAUUUUUUUUUAUAGUUUUCAACUUUGAUGUCUCCACUUAAUCCAUAUGUUUUUGUGAAAAAAUCGUUCUGUUAGAUAUUUGAUGUCUAGCUUAUAUUUAUUCACAGUUGUCGUCAAUCUUCCUUGUCUAUUUUUUGUGACUUUAUUGCUUAUAUCGGGAUUUUCUUGUGUUUGGUUAAGAAACUUUUGAAUUGGAUACAUUCGACGACUGUAGUACUUGGAUGAUUGGUCUCUUCAGAAGUCCUUAUCUUUUGUAAGGGUUGAAUUUGUUUUGUUUAAUGAUUCUGGUUCUUUUUCAGGUUUUGUUUUUAUUGGUGGUGUCUUUUUUGAGUUUUUAUUAAGAUUGAAUGUGAAGUUGUUUACUCAUUUUUUUUAUACUUGGCUUCCCAUUAUCUUGUUUUGGUCUGAUAUUUUUAUUCUUUUGGUUGUAAUUUUGGCCACUCAAGCUACUGCAAAUCUGAAGGGUCCAAAAGGAAUGAGAAUUGUGAUCCUCAGGUCAAUUGUUUAUGUAUACCUGAAGUACAUAAUUUUGUACUAAUCAUUGCCUAAUUUUUAACCUUCUAAGUUGUAAUCAAAGGAAGAAGGUGUCCAAUUUUGUAAUUUUUUACCAACUGCCCACUGUAUUUUAAUCAUGGUUUUUAUGGUUAAUCAAAUGAACCUAGUGGAGUAGUUGCUCGAAGCAGAGGCCAUUGCUUCAUAGUUAACCUGAGGAGGGCUAUUUCUUACACUUUUGAAAACCAUUCCAUUUGAAUGGUUUUCGAAAUACUGUAAGAAGCAAGCUGCUGAGAGUUAUUAUAAAAGCUGCAAUUGAGAUUAAAUUUGAAGUAUAAUUUAGGAUAGAAUGUAACUUAACUACCCAUGUUCUAUUUCACAAACUAAUGGAUAGAUGUGGAGAGAAUAAAUUCUAAUUCAAUCUUUACCAUAUAUAAAUCCAAAGUUCUUAUUGAAGAUACUUCUAUAAUGUCAUGGCCUCAUGGCGCAAAAAGAAAAUGAAAAAAAAAUAAAAAUUGAACGAAUGCAGCAUCUGUGGUAAUAUUAUGUUUUUAACUAUUUGGCCAAUGGAUUGUUGUCUGACUUAUUUGUUGCUUAUAAUGCUUAUACAAACAACAUCUAAGGUUGAACUCCUUGUUAUAUUGUUUGAUUAAAAGAAUGAUGCAAUUGUGCUAAUAUUAUGUAUUUUUAAUGAAGAUGCCAUAACCAGUGGAUUGUUGUAUGCUAGUUUUGAUAUUUUUGUAUUAUAUUUAUGUGACAAUGGCCAUUUGGAUUUUGUUAAAUCCAUACUAGUUGCAGCCAGUCUUUGUUGAACGAAACAUGGUGGACUGUCACAGUGAUGGAUACCCAGAUCUCGUAACAAAUGAUGCUAAUAUGGGAUGUAUGACCCCAACAUUGUACAUUGGGAAACUUUUAGAAUUUUUGAACAAGCUUUUCAUGAAUAUAGUGAAGCAGGGGUUCUCUAUUAGGAAGCAAAAGUGUGAAAAAAGAGAAACUAAGGAUUAUGAAAUAUGUCGACGAGACUUUGUUUGCCAUCGAUCGGGCAAUGGGAGUAAAAAAUGUGUAGUUAUUGAAAACAAUGAAGAAUCAGGUGAUGGUUUUAAGAAAAGACAAAGACAAUACCGGUCUUGUCAUUGUAAUUGCAAAGCACACAUGAGUGUUGGCUUGUCUAGGAAUGGGGAUGUGAUGUUGUGGGAAGUUCUUAAUGUUGCAGAUGACCACAACCACGAAUUAUUGGAUCAAAACGAGGUCCGUCAUUUGAGAGCAUAUCGGCAUAUUUCUGGCCACUAUAGGUAGCGUAUCUUGACACUUGAAAAAUCUAGGAUAUUGAUUCCCCAAAUACUUAGGAUAUUGGAAACAGAGCAACAAGUUGGGGUUAACUGUCUUCCAUUCAACAUGAAGGAUAUAUACAACUUCCUUAACUCACAAAAAUUAUUUAUGAGGGAAAAUGAUGCGGCCAAUCUUGUCCUCAAAUGCAAACAUUUGAAAUCCUUAGAUUUGGAGUUCCAAAAUGAGUAUCAAAUUGACGAUAACCAUUUGGAGUACAUUACUUGGUGUCACAGCAAUUUUGUUCAUGGUUAUCAGCUCUAUGGUGAUGUUGUUGUUUUUUACACAACUUACAAGUUAAAUGCGUAUAACAUACCUGUAGGUGUAUGGGUUGGUGUGAAUAGCCAUGGUUGUUUUGUCUUUCUUAGGUGUUGUUUACUAAGGGAUGAGAGACAAACGCCCUUUGAGUGGACAUUCAAGGUGUUCUUGAAGUUAAUGGGUGGCAAGGCCCCCAAAACUAUUAUUACUGAUGAUGAUCCCUAAAAUGGUGCUGCCAUUGAGAACAUUUGUCUAGCCACGAAACAUGCAUUAUGCAUGUGGCAUAUUGCAAAAAAAAAAUCCCCGAAGUGUUGUCUACUGUUUUGAAAGCUCGAUCUAAGGAAUGGAACAAGAUCUUUCAAGAACUAAGCAAGAUAGAGAUAGCUGAAGACUUUGACAAGGGUUGGCAAUCAAUGUUGGAAGAGUAUGAAUUAGUAGCCAAUGUACAUUUAAUUAAGGAGACUAUUUUGUAGCCGUACUAAGUGGCAAAAAACAUAUCUCAAGUCUUAUUUCUUUGCUGGGAUGAGUACUACUGGCAGAUCCGAGUUGAUGAAUGCAUUCAUAAAGCAGACAAUUUCAUCACAAAAUCUUCUAACAAAUUUCAUUGAUCAGGUA